Molecule: transfer RNA, 71 nt
Filed under: Cynoglossus trigrammus
Lineage: Eukaryota; Metazoa; Chordata; Actinopteri; Pleuronectiformes; Cynoglossidae
Description: tRNA-Gly
Rfam family: tRNA
About the family: Transfer RNA (tRNA) molecules are approximately 80 nucleotides in length. Their secondary structure includes four short double-helical elements and three loops (D, anti-codon, and T loops).
Source: RNAcentral
AUCUUUCUAGUACUAAACCAGUACAAAUGACUUCCAAUCAUUUAGUCUUGGUUAAAAUCCAAGGAAAGAUA